GAGCCUGAGAAACGGCUACCACAUCCAAGGAUGGCAGCAGGCGCGCAAAUUACCCAAUCCCGACACGGGGAGGUAGUGACAAUAAAUAACAAUACGGGGUUCUUUAGGAUCUCGUAAUUGGAAUGAGUACAAUUUAAAUCUCUUAACGAGGAACAAUUGGAGGGCAAGUCUGGUGCCAGCAGCCGCGGUAAUUCCAGCUCCAAUAGCGUAUAUUAAAGUUGUUGCAGUUAAAAAGCUCGUAGUUGAAUUUCGGGGUUAGUAGGUUGGUCAUGCCUCUGGUAUGUACUGGUCUCACUGAUUCCUCCUUCCUUAUGAACCGUAAUGCCAUUAAUUUGGUGUUGCGGGGAAUUUGGACUGUUACUUUGAAAAAAUUAGAGUGUUUAAAGCAAGCUAACGCUUGAAUACAUUAGCAUGGAAUAAUGAAAUAGGACGUUCGAUCUUAUUUUGUUGGUUUCUAGGAUUGACGUAAUGAUUAAUAGGGAUAGUUGGGGGCAUUAGUAUUCAAUUGUCAGAGGUGAAAUUCUUGGAUUUAUUGAAGACUAACUACUGCGAAAGCAUUUGCCAAGGAUGUUUUCAUUAAUCAAGAACGAAAGUUAGGGGAUCGAAGACGAUCAGAUACCGUCGUAGUCUUAACCAUAAACUAUGCCGACUAGGGAUCGGAUGAUGUUAAUUUUUUAAUGACUCAUUCGGCGCCUUACGGGAAACCAAA
This 709-nucleotide ribosomal RNA is filed under the name uncultured fungus. RNAcentral describes it as "SSU rRNA". It matches the Rfam family "Eukaryotic small subunit ribosomal RNA", at positions 392 to 1102 of the family's 1831-position model. Lineage: Eukaryota; Fungi. The record is from RNAcentral.